This 2448-nucleotide long non-coding RNA is filed under the name Callithrix jacchus (white-tufted-ear marmoset). RNAcentral describes it as "lncRNA (ENSCJAG00000071907.1)". Lineage: Eukaryota; Metazoa; Chordata; Mammalia; Primates; Cebidae. The record is from RNAcentral.
CAGUCUCUUGAUCUCCAAAGCAGGGAUGAUGAUAGAAUAGUAGGCUUGUUGUGAGGAUUAAAGGAAGAAUCCAGAAAAGCAGUUUACAAUAGUGUCUGGACCAAACUAAGCACUGGAUAUGUGUUAAGUACAAUUACGUGAGUCAUGUUUGCCAUACGCCCUCUGCACGCUGCCUGACUAAUCCUCCAGUACUUAUCCCCAUGGGUUAGCUGUACUCUGGCCCUCAAAUUCCAGGUCUCUGAUGGGAUUGGGCCUUGGAUGGGCGCCAGCACACAUGUACAUUUGCUAGCCUUUUACUCAAGACUGAACCCUUUCUUUUCCUUAGGCAUCAUUUGAGACCCUGCCUCCUGUUUGACUUCAAGUGUCCCCUGAGGCUUAGAGCCAGCCUCUGGGUGCCAGCCCCAUCCUCCAGACUGGAAGCCCUCAGAUGCCCGUUUGUGGAACCCUGCCCCUGGACUUUCAGGAUUAAGUGAUUCCUGGCCCAGAAACAAAAGCAAAAUCGUCCCAUUCCCCAGCAGAUUCAGAUGAAAACUGGUAAUAAAAUCAGGUAAAACUCCCAAAGCAGACAUUGGAGAAGAGCCAAGCUGGGUCUAUAAGGAAUUGCACACGAGAUGGCACGCAUAUCACCACUAUCUGGGGAGUAGGACAUAUUUUAUUGGAAAUAUAGUUUUUCUCUCUAAAUCUGUUAUGAACGCGUUGGUUGUCUGAGUUCAGUAAUAAAUAUCUGAGACCUAACAUUUUUUAAAAAAGGUCUCUCCUUACUACUUGUUGUGAGCUUAACUGUGUCCCCUCAAAAUUUGUAUGUUGAAGCCCUGAUACCCCAGUACCUCUGAAUGUGACGUAUUUGUUUGUUUGUUUUGUUUGCUUUUCAAGGAGGGUCUCACUUUGUUGCCCAGGCUGGAGUGCAGUGGCACAAUCUCAGCUCACUGCAACCUCCGCCUCCCGGGUUCAAGUGAUUCUGUUGCCUCAGCCUCCCAAGUAGCUGAGAUUACAGGCUCCCACUACCACGCCCAGCUCAUUUUUGUAUUUUGAUAGAGACUACUAAAAUAGUUUCACCAUGUUGGUCAGGCUGGUCUCAAACUCCUGACCUCAGAUGAUCUGCCCCCCUCGGCCUCCCAAAGUGCUGGGAUUACAGGCAUGAGCCACUGUGCCCUGCCUGUGACUGUAUUUGGAGAUAAAAGGUCUUAGUCUGCUUGUGCUGCUGUAACAGAACAUCACAGGUUGGGUAAUUUAUAAAGAACAGAUAUUUAUUUCUCACAGUUCUGGAGGCUGAAAGUGCAAGAUCAAGGUGCUGGCAUUUGGUGUCGAGUGAGGGCAGCAUCCUCCAGAGGGAAGAACUCCAUGUGCUCACAUGGCAGAGGGUGGACAACAUACAGCAUGCCUCUUUUAUAAGGGCUUUCAUCCCAUUCUUGUGGGAAGGUGCUCUCAUGACCUAAUCAGCUCUUAAAGGCCCCACCUCCCAACACCGUCACAUUGGCAACACCUGAAUUUUGGCGGAGACACUUUCAAACCACCACAUACAAUCUUUAAAGAGGUGAUCAUGAGGUGAUUGAGUGGUCCUAGUCUAAGAGGACUUGACUUUAUAAGAAGAGGAAAUUUGAACACAGGUACAGAGGGAAGACCAUGUGAAGACACAGGGAGAUGGCCAUUUAAAGCUAAGGAGAAAAGGAAGAAAACAUACCUGCCAACACCCAGAGCUUGGAUUUUUAGCCUUUGGAACAAUGGGAGAAUAUAUUUCUGUUAAGCCACUCAGUCCAUGGUACUUGGUUAUGCAGCCUUAGUAAACACCUCUCCUGCCUAUUUGCUUUCUUAAUUGUUAAAAUUACAACCUUAUCUUGUAGUCAAUAAUGUACUAUUUAAAUCUUAAUUUUAUAAUGUUUACACUUUUGUUAAGGGUUUACUAAGAGUAGAAACAUGUCUUAAAGGUUUUAAGAAUUUCCAUCGUUCGGUGGCUCACGCCUGUAAUCCCAGCACUUUGGGAGGCUGAGGCGGGUGGAUCACAAGGUCAAGAGAUCGAGACCAUCCUGGUCAACAUGGUGAAACCCCAUCUCUACUAAAAAUACAAAAAAUUAGCUGGGCAUGGUGGCGCGUGCCUGUAAUCCCAGCUACUCAGGAGGCUGAGGUAGGAGAAUUGCCUGAACCCAGGAGGCGGAGGUUGUGGUGAGCCAAGGUCGUCCCAUUGCACUCCAGCCUGGGUAACAAGAGCGAAACUCCGUCUCAGAAAAAAAAAAAAAGAAUUUCCAUUGUUAGUGUGAUUUUGAAACAAAAGCUAGAUGGUCCUUUAGUAGCACUAAUAAAGAAAAAAAAGAGGAGACAAAAGUUAACAAAGGGGCCAGAUCCACAGAUACAGUCCAGAGUUUCUGAAAGCAUAAAAACUCUCUAAAGUAUGUAAUAAUUUUGAAAAUUUAGAUUACAGUGACAAUGAUUUAUAGAAAAAAAUUACAAAAU